AGAGGAAGUAAAAGUCGUAACAAGGUUUCCGUAGGUGAACCUGCGGAAGGAUCAUUAUUGAAAUAAACCUGAUGAGUUGUUGCUGGCUCUCUAGGGAGCAUGUGCACACUUGUCAUCUUUGUAUCUUCACCUGUGCAUCUUUUGUAGACCUUGGAUAUCUCUCUGAUUGCUUUAGCACUCAGGAUUUGAGGAUUGACUCUUUUGUGUCUCUUCUUACAAUUCCAGGUCUAUGUUUCUUCAUAUACCCUCAUGUAUGUUCAUAGAAUGUCAUCAAUGGGCCUUUGUGCCUAUAAAUCUAUACAACUUUCAGCAACGGAUCUCUUGGCUCUCGCAUCGAUGAAGAACGCAGCGAAAUGCGAUAAGUAAUGUGAAUUGCAGAAUUCAGUGAAUCAUCGAAUCUUUGAACGCACCUUGCGCUCCUUGGUAUUCCGAGGAGCAUGCCUGUUUGAGUGUCAUUAAUAUAUCAAACCUCUUUGGUUUGGAUGUGGGGUUUGCUGGCCUCUUUUGAGGUCAGCUACUCUUAAAUGCAUUAGCGGACAACAUUUUGCCAAACGUUCAUUGGUGUGAUAAUUAUCUACGCUAUCAACGUGAAGCAGGUUCAGCUUCUAACAGUCCAUUGAUUUGGACAAAUCUCUUUAUUAAUGUGACCUCAAAUCAGGUAGGACUACCCGCUGAACUUAAGCAUAUCAAUAAGCGGAGGAAAAGAAACUAACAAGGAUUCCCCUAGUAACUGCGAGUGAAGCGGGAAAAGCUCAAAUUUAAAAUCUGGCAGUCUUUGGCUGUCCGAGUUGUAAUCUAGAGAAGCAUUAUCCGCGCUGGACCGUGUACAAGUCUCCUGGAAUGGAGCGUCAUAGAGGGUGAGAAUCCCGUCUUUGACACGGACUACCAGGGCUUUGUGAUGUGCUCUCAAAGAGUCGAGUUGUUUGGGAAUGCAGCUCAAAAUGGGUGGUAAAUUCCAUCUAAAGCUAAAUAUUGGCGAGAGACCGAUAGCGAACAAGUACCGUGAGGGAAAGAUGAAAAGAACUUUGGAAAGAGAGUUAAACAGUACGUGAAAUUGCUGCAAGGGAAACGCUUGAAGUCAGUCGCGUUGUCCAGGGAUCAACCCUUGCUUUUGCUUGGUGUACUUUCUGGUUAACGGGUCAGCAUCAAUUUUGACCAUUGGAAAAAGAUCAAGGGAAUGUGGCAUCUUUUAGAUGUGUUAUAGCCCUUGGUUGUAUACAUUGGUUGGGAUUGAGGAACUCAGCACGCCGCAAGGCCGAGUUUUUUUAACUACGUACGUGCUUAGGAUGCUGGCAUAAUGGCUUUAAUCGACCCGUCUUGAAA
This 1323-nucleotide ribosomal RNA is filed under the name Calonarius splendens. RNAcentral's name for it is "eukaryotic LSU rRNA". The stretch from base 645 to 1323 matches the Rfam family "Eukaryotic large subunit ribosomal RNA", at positions 1 to 659 of the family's 3401-position model. Lineage: Eukaryota; Fungi; Basidiomycota; Agaricomycetes; Agaricales; Cortinariaceae. The record is from RNAcentral.